UACGUAGGGGGCGAGCGUUGUUCGGAAUGACUGGGCGUAAAGGGCGCGUAGGCGGCCUGUCAAGUUGGGAGUGAAAUUCCUGCUUUCAAGGUAGGAACUGCUUUCAAAACUGUCGGGCUUGAGUGCGGAAGAGGUAAGUGGAAUUCCCAGUGUAGCGGUGAAAUGCGUAGAGAUUGGGAGGAACACCAGUGGCGAAGGCGACUUACUGGGCCGUAACUGACGCUGAUGCGCGAAAGCGUGGGGAGCAAACAGG
This 253-nucleotide ribosomal RNA is filed under the name uncultured bacterium. Its description in RNAcentral is "partial 16S ribosomal RNA". It matches the Rfam family "Bacterial small subunit ribosomal RNA", at positions 524 to 776 of the family's 1533-position model. The record is from RNAcentral.